ACGGAAGAAGGGGACUAUAAGGUCAAGCUACGCAACCUUAUCAAGUUCCUUAGUGAGGGUGACAAAGCCAAGGUAUCCCUGCGAUUCCGCGGCCGCGAAAUGGCUCAUCAGGAGCUGGGCAUGGAGUUGUUGAAGCGGGUCGAAGCCGAUCUCGCCGAAUACGGCACCGUUGAACAGCACCCGAAAAUGGAAGGUCGUCAAUUGAUGAUGGUCCUAGCACCCAAGAAGAAAAAGUAAUCUCCAGGGCAACGCCAGGCCUUGUGAUUAUCUUAUCCACUCUAUUUGGAGUACCUGAACAUGGCAAAGAUGAAAACCAA
Molecule: unclassified non-coding RNA, 317 nt
Filed under: Halopseudomonas bauzanensis
Lineage: Bacteria; Pseudomonadati; Pseudomonadota; Gammaproteobacteria; Pseudomonadales; Pseudomonadaceae
Description: Pseudomonas bauzanensis Long range pseudoknot
Source: RNAcentral